Molecule: ribosomal RNA, 453 nt
Filed under: uncultured bacterium
Lineage: Bacteria
Description: bacterial SSU rRNA
Rfam family: Bacterial small subunit ribosomal RNA
Source: RNAcentral
UACGGGAGGCAGCAGUGGGGAAUAUUGCACAAUGGGCGCAAGCCUGAUGCAGCCAUGCCGCGUGUAUGAAGAAGGCCUUCGGGUUGUAAAGUACUUUCAGUCGUGAGGAAGGUGUUAAGGUUAAUAACCUUAGCAAUUGACGUUAGCGACAGAAGAAGCACCGGCUAACUCCGUGCCAGCAGCCGCGGUAAUACGGAGGGUGCGAGCGUUAAUCGGAAUUACUGGGCGUAAAGGGCACGCAGGCGGUUAAUUAAGUUGGAUGUGAAAUCCCCGGGCUUAACCUGGGAAUGGCAUUCAAGACUGGUUAGCUAGAGUCUUGUAGAGGGGGUAGAAUUCCAUGUGUAGCGGUGAAAUGCGUAGAGAUGUGGAGGAAUACCGGUGGCGAAGGCGGCCCCUGGGACAAAGACUGACGCUCAUGUGCGAAAGCGUGGGGAGCAAACAGGAUUAGAUACC